Molecule: unclassified non-coding RNA, 234 nt
Filed under: plant metagenome
Description: partial contains small subunit ribosomal RNA, internal transcribed spacer 1, and 5.8S ribosomal RNA
Source: RNAcentral
UUUCCGUAGGUGAACCUGCGGAAGGAUCAUUAAAGUUAUAGUCCCCCGGCCCUCUGGGCUGGGGUCUUCUAUACCACCCUUUGUUUAUUACACCUUCGUUGCUUUGGCAGGCCUGCCCUCGGGCUGCUGGCUCCGGCCGGCUCGCGUCUGCCAGAGGACCUAAACUCUGUUUGUAUAUGAAGUCUGAGUACUAUAUAAUAGUUAAAACUUUCAACAACGGAUCUCUUGGUUCUG